GACGAACGCUGGCGGCGUGCUUAACACAUGCAAGUCGAACGGAAAGGCCCUGCUUUUGUGGGGUGCUCGAGUGGCGAACGGGUGAGUAACACGUGAGUAACCUGCCCUUGACUUUGGGAUAACUUCAGGAAACUGGGGCUAAUACCGGAUAGGAGCUCCUGCUGCAUGGUGGGGGUUGGAAAGUUUCGGCGGUUGGGGAUGGACUCGCGGCUUAUCAGCUUGUUGGUGGGGUAGUGGCUUACCAAGGCUUUGACGGGUAGCCGGCCUGAGAGGGUGACCGGCCACAUGGGGACUGAGAUACGGCCCAGACUCCUACGGGAGGCAGCAGUGGGGAAUAUUGCACAAGGGGCGGAAGCCUGAUGCAGCAACGCCGCGGGCGGGAUGACGGCCUUCGGGUGGUAAACCGCUUUCGCCUGUGACGAAGCGUGGGUGAGGGUAAUGGGUAAAGAAGCACGGGCUAACUACGU
Molecule: ribosomal RNA, 467 nt
Filed under: uncultured bacterium
Lineage: Bacteria
Description: partial 16S ribosomal RNA
Rfam family: Bacterial small subunit ribosomal RNA
Source: RNAcentral